UGGUCUCAGUUCAGAUUGCAGGCUGCCAACCCGCCUGCAUGAAGUCGGAAUUGCUAGUAAUCGCGGAUCAGCAUGCCGCGGUGAAUACGUUCCCGGGCCUUGUACACACCGCCCGUCACACCAUGGGAGCCGGUAAUACCCGAAGUCAGUAGUCCAACCUCGUGAGGACGCUGCCGAAGGUAGGAUUGGCGACUGGGGUGAAGUCGUAACAAGGUAUC
This 218-nucleotide ribosomal RNA is filed under the name uncultured bacterium. RNAcentral's name for it is "partial 16S ribosomal RNA". It matches the Rfam family "Bacterial small subunit ribosomal RNA", at positions 1283 to 1500 of the family's 1533-position model. The record is from RNAcentral.